RNAcentral lists this long non-coding RNA (1040 nucleotides) under Marmota monax (woodchuck). The record is from RNAcentral. Lineage: Eukaryota; Metazoa; Chordata; Mammalia; Rodentia; Sciuridae.
GUAUUUUACAGCUAAAGGAAGCAGAGAUGGUGGUGCCUAUCAGCUUCUCAUUGCUGUGACAAUAUACUUGUGGAAAACAGGAGAAAAGAUUUUGGGAGGAUUCAGAGUUUCGGUCAAUAAUCAGCAGGCUUCAUUGCUGUUAAUCCUAUAGCAAGGCAGAAACUUGGCAGAAGGGUGUGGUGGAGGAAAGGUGCUGUCCUCCUGACAGCCAGGAAGCAGAGAGAGAAAAAAGGGUGAGGACUCCCCAAGAACCUCCCUUUAACUAGGUCUCACUUCCUAUAUUUCUGUCACUUCUCAAUAGUCCAUUCAGCUAUGAGCCCAACAGUGGAUUAAUCCAUUGAUGAGGUCAGAGCCCCAUGAUCCAGUCACUUCCCCAAAGUCCCACUUCUGAACAUUACUGCAUUGGGGACCAAAUCUUCAACAUAGGAGCCUCUAGGAACAUUGCAGAUCCUAACCAUAACAGUGGCCAACUUUCCCUGGACACAUCUUAGUGUCUAUUGUCCACCCCUAUAUAACCUUAUUUCACCUGCUUCAUGGGAGUACACAGGGUUUGCAGUUGAGGAUUUUAAGAGUAAAACAUUUGUGAGUACUCUAUCACUCACUUCCAGGGCCCCUAAAUGCCUAUUCUCAUCAUGGAACCUUGCUCACAGUCAUCUAUUCCCCAGCUCCUGUCAUCUUGGGUGGUUUUAACAUUGUACAUUGGCUUCUACCUUCCUCAACCUCCUUACACCUUAUCAAUGUUCAACUUCCACAUUCUAGCUGUGGCCUCAACUCUGACCCAUUCAUAGUCACAUUUCUGAUUUUCUUUCUAUAAAAUAAGACUAGUCCUAAAAUGAUAAGGAAAAAAUAAAUUUUUUACAGAAAGAACCUUUAAUAUGUUUUAUUAGUUAUCUAAGCUGUUGUAGUUAGGGAUUUUGUUUAUUGUUAUGUUAUAAUAGUGGAAGAAACCAGUUUUAGUCGUUAGGGAGCCAGACCUGUAUGUCUUCCAGACUGUUAAAAGAUAAUAUUCACUGAUACUUGCAAAAGCACUGUUCAGGAUU